CACACUGCAUGCACAGGAUGUGGUUCUUUCCAAAGGAAACUGUCAUUCUCACAGCCCACAGAAGAGGAAAGGAGAAGGGGCUCAUUUAGUCACUGAUGAUUGUGUCAGCGAUGUAAAUGUGACUGUUGUCAGCUGCUUUGAUCUUAGGCAUUCAGCUCCACAAACACCCUGGAACACUAUUUUCAGAGGCAGAACACAGCCACAGCACCAGUGUUCCCACCAUGGCCUGCUAGAGUUUGUGCACAGCUGGACUCCCAGCAGCAUGGUGCUGGGCCUUGGCUUGCACUACAGGCCCAGCAUCCUCCUCCUCAGGGCUUGACAGCCACUGCAUGAUCCAGAACACCCUGAGGGUCAGGAAACCUGGCACUCUGCAGACCUAAGAAGUUGCUUCCAACAGAAUUCAGAAAGGCCAGGUCUACCAAGCAGUCAGACUGCAGGAGGCUUCUGUGUUCCUCAAGAAAUUCUUCCUCCUCCUUUCCUGAGAACUACAAAACUUGCAUCGCUUGCAUAUGUCAGUGAAAAAAUUAAAGCCUGCACUGGGGAUAUGGCACAGCAUCUCUGCAUGUUUCUUUUGGCAGGUGUACUCUACAGUUCAUUAGGGAGAUGCAUACAAGGCAAGCUGGUUCAAGAGGAGUCAGGAAGCCCAACACACCAAACCAAUGAGAAGCCUAUCAGAGGCCUGAUACCAGAAUCACUAGGAGCAUUUUCUUUCCCAAAUGCAAUGCUCCAAAGCAGCUGAUACCAUUUGCUCUUUUCUAGGAGUACUACAUAUAUAAAAAGUUAACAACCUUAUUU
This is a long non-coding RNA of Numida meleagris (helmeted guineafowl), 795 nucleotides long. RefSeq lists it as uncharacterized. The record is from RefSeq and is a predicted model, not a curated record. The transcript has 3 exons. Lineage: Eukaryota; Metazoa; Chordata; Aves; Galliformes; Numididae.